UACGUAGGGCGCAAGCGUUGUCCGGAAUUAUUGGGCGUAAAGAGCUCGUAGGCGGUCUGUCGCGUCUGCUGUGAAAUCCCGAGGCUCAACCUCGGGCUUGCAGUGGGUACGGGCAGACUAGAGUGCGGUAGGGGAGAAUGGAAUUCCUGGUGUAGCGGUGGAAUGCGCAGAUAUCAGGAGGAACACCGAUGGCGAAGGCAGUUCUCUGGGCCGUAACUGACGCUGAGGAGCGAAAGCGUGGGGAGCGAAC
Molecule: ribosomal RNA, 250 nt
Filed under: uncultured Microbacteriaceae bacterium
Lineage: Bacteria; Bacillati; Actinomycetota; Actinomycetes; Micrococcales; Microbacteriaceae
Also listed under: 1 other name
Description: partial 16S ribosomal RNA
Rfam family: Bacterial small subunit ribosomal RNA
Source: RNAcentral